RNAcentral lists this ribosomal RNA (459 nucleotides) under uncultured bacterium. Its description in RNAcentral is "partial 16S ribosomal RNA". It matches the Rfam family "Bacterial small subunit ribosomal RNA", at positions 338 to 795 of the family's 1533-position model. The record is from RNAcentral.
CCUACGGGCGGCAGCAGUGAGGAAUAUUGGUCAAUGGUCGGGAGACUGAACCAGCCAAGCCGCGUGAGGGAGGAAGGUACAGAGUAUCGUAAACCUCUUUUGUCAGGGAACAAAGGCGGGGACGUGUCCCCGGAUGAGUGUACCUGAAGAAAAAGCAUCGGCUAACUCCGUGCCAGCAGCCGCGGUAAUACGGAGGAUGCGAGCGUUAUCCGGAUUUAUGGGGUUUAAAGGGUGCGCAGGCGGUCUGUUAAGUCAGCGGUAAAAGCCCGGGGCACAACCCCGGACCGCCGUGGAAACUGGGAGUCUCGAGUUGGAGAGAAGUAUGCGGAAUGCGCGGUGUAGCGGUGAAAUGCGUAGAUAUCGCGCAGAACUCCGAUUGCGAAGGCAGCAUGCCGGCUCCACACUGACGCUGAGGCACGAAAGCGUGGGUAUCGAACAGGAUUAGAUACCCGGGUAGUC